GACGAACGCUGGCGGCGUGCUUAACACAUGCGAGUCGAACGGAAAGGCCCUGCUUUUGUGGGGUGCUCGAGUGGCGAACGGGUGAGUAACACGUGAGUAACCUGCCCUUUACUUUGGGAUAACUUCAGGAAACUGGGGCUAAUACCGGAUAGGAGCUCCUGCUGCAUGGUGGGGGUUGGAAAGUUUCGGCGGUUGGGGAUGGACUCGCGGCUUAUCAGCUUGUUGGUGGGGUAGUGGCUUACCAAGGCUUUGACGGGUAGCCGGCCUGCGAGGGUGACCGGCCACAUUGGGACUGAGAUACGGCCCAGACUCCUACGGGAGGCAGCAGUGGGGAAUAUUGCACAAUGGGCGGAAGCCUGAUGCAGCAACGCCGCGUGCGGGAUGACGGCCUUCGGGUUGUAAACCGCUUUCGCCUGUGACGAAGCGUGAGUGACGGUAAUGGGUAAAGAAGCACCGGCUAACUACGUG
This 468-nucleotide ribosomal RNA is filed under the name uncultured bacterium. RNAcentral's name for it is "partial 16S ribosomal RNA". It matches the Rfam family "Bacterial small subunit ribosomal RNA", at positions 28 to 507 of the family's 1533-position model. The record is from RNAcentral.